AGUGAACGCUGGCGGCAGGCCUAACACAUGCAAGUCGAACGAGUGGCGGACGGGUGAGUAAUGUCUGGGAAACUGCCUGAUGGAGGGGGAUAACUACUGGAAACGGUAGCUAAUACCGCAUACCAUCGGAUGUGCCCAGAUGGGAUUAGCUAGUAGGUGGGGUAAAGGCUCACCUAGGCGACGUUCCCUAGCUGGUCUGAGAUGAUGACUAGCCAAACUGGAACCGAGCCACGCUCCAGUCUCCUACGGGAGGCCGCCGUGGGGAAUAUCGCACAAUGGGCGCAAGCCCGACCUAGCCAUGCCGCGUGUAUGAAGAAGGUCUUCGGGUUGUAAAGUCCUUUCAGCGGGGAGGCGUUACCGGUAGAAGAAGCACCGGCUAACUCCGUGCCAGCCGCCGCGGUAAUAC
Molecule: ribosomal RNA, 406 nt
Filed under: uncultured bacterium
Lineage: Bacteria
Description: partial 16S ribosomal RNA
Rfam family: Bacterial small subunit ribosomal RNA
Source: RNAcentral